RNAcentral lists this long non-coding RNA (542 nucleotides) under Olea europaea subsp. europaea. The record is from RNAcentral. Lineage: Eukaryota; Viridiplantae; Streptophyta; Magnoliopsida; Lamiales; Oleaceae.
CUUUAAUUUUCACAGUUCCUCAUUACCCACAAAUUCUUUCUCUUGGAGAAGUUAAUUACACUUCAGUAUAACUCUUGGCUAUCAAUUUAGAUAAAAUUUCUUGAAAAUUCUUGUGGGCUUCUUGAAUUGUGAGGAUUAAUUGAUUUUCUUAGGGUUCUUCAAGGAGGAUAAUAUAUUACACUAUUACGGAAUGGAAGGGGAAUAAAAUGGCAAAAAGGUCCUCUUUGGGAAGUUAAUUACCCAUUAGAAUAAAUCUUCAGUAUCAAUUCAGAUCUAAUUCAUUGAAAAGCUAGGUGGGCUUCUUGAAUUUUGAGGAUUUAUUUGAUUUUCUUAGGGUUUUUGAAAGGGGAUUCUAUUACAAUCUUGCAGAAUGCAAGGAGAAAAAGUAGCAAAAAGAUCCUCUUUGGGAAACAUGGUGAGAAAGGGGCUUUCAGACAUUACUAAUUCUUUGCCACGGCCCAAGUCUCCAAUCAUACCUGGAAAGUCGCAGCCAGAUUCUGCUUCUGCUAAGGACUAGAUCGAUAAUCUAGUCAAGGUACUAU